Molecule: small RNA, 1086 nt
Filed under: Histoplasma capsulatum
Lineage: Eukaryota; Fungi; Ascomycota; Eurotiomycetes; Onygenales; Ajellomycetaceae
Also listed under: 1 other name
Description: hypothetical RNA
Source: RNAcentral
GUUUUACUCCCCUGGCCCGUUUAUGGAGCGGCAGUUAUAUAUGACAGGGAUUUCCCUCUCAAUAGUCAUUAUGUUUCUAUUUGUUGCCGUAUCUGUGCAAGCUGUUGCUUUAUUUGGAUCCGCCAUUUGCUGUUAUCGUGAGGCCCGCUACGUAACGAAGUAAAAAUACUUCACGCUUUCGCCAACAGCAUCUAACUACAUUGAUACUCCUGAGCCUUUUAAUUUCUUCAUAUUCCCCAUAUAAAGCUCCCACAACAAGUCCACAUUGAUUCCAUCUUCCACCUUACGUUUGCCACCACGCUACUAUCUACUUGAUAUCAACGCACGAAUUUGCAUUCUCUCUCCAUUUCAGACUGUUCAACCGAAUUAAGACUUCCUGGAGUCUCCUUUUCCCACACCCAGUCAGAGCCUCAAGCCGCCACAUAGCUAUCUUUAUCAGAAUCAUGGAGCUUUACCUACUUGUUGGCGUAUUUACGCUUUUAACCAGUAUUGGGUUUUAUCUUCCAGUUCCGCUUACGAAUAUUCACCCAGAUAGACCUCUUCCAGAUCGUCUCGUUGGUGCACUCCAGCUGACCGCCACGGGAGAAUGUGCCGCAAGGAUCUAUAAUUAUUUUAGUACAUCGCAACGUCGUGAUGCGGAUGCUUAUGUCUUGGGAGCUGAUCCCAAAAUCCACGAAAUCCAUACAACAUACACGCCAAUCCUUGAUCAGUUUCAGCAAGAUACUGCGCAGAGAACUCUCCAAGAUUUCAAAGAACCCCCGCAGACUGUCACAAUUUUUGUGACCUCAACAAUUACGGACCACUUCGGAGCCGGCCAAACGAUAAUGCCAGACAAUAUUUAUGAAGUUCCAACUAAUCCCGAGUGGGUUUUAUCUAGAUGGAUCGUCCUGCUCGAGGACGCAAUAGUACGCCACCCAAAUAUGUAUACGACCGUCAUUCUUUUAUUUGCCUUUGGAACCUGGUUGCUCUCUCGCAGCAGAAACUCUAAAAUCUCAGAAAGUCAUAAUACAACUCCGCUGUCAUCUAAAGGAACUGACACCGAGUUUGUACAAGCCUUAACCCGACUUUUUGAGCUGAUAUCUGGCC